UACGUAGGGGGCAAGCGUUAUCCGGAUUUACUGGGUGUAAAGGGAGCGCAGACGGAACUGCAAGUCUGAUGUGAAAGCCCGGGGCUCAACCGCGGGACUGCAUCGGAUACUGUGGAUCUGGAGUGCCGGAGGGGCAAGCGGAAUUCCUGGUGUAGCGGUGAAAUGCGUAGAUAUCAGGAGGAGCACCGGCGGCGAAGGCGGCUUGCUGGACGGCAACUGACGUUGAGGUUCGAAAGCGUGGGGAGCAAACAGGAUUAGAUACCCU
RNAcentral lists this ribosomal RNA (265 nucleotides) under uncultured prokaryote. RNAcentral's name for it is "partial 16S ribosomal RNA". It matches the Rfam family "Bacterial small subunit ribosomal RNA", at positions 524 to 788 of the family's 1533-position model. The record is from RNAcentral.